This 253-nucleotide ribosomal RNA is filed under the name uncultured bacterium. RNAcentral describes it as "partial 16S ribosomal RNA". It matches the Rfam family "Bacterial small subunit ribosomal RNA", at positions 524 to 776 of the family's 1533-position model. The record is from RNAcentral.
UACGUAGGGGGCUAGCGUUGUCCGGAAUCAUUGGGCGUAAAGAGCGUGUAGGCGGUCCGGUAAGUCCGCUGUGAAAGUCGGGGGCUCAACCCUCGAAUGCCGGUGGAUACUGUCGGGCUAGAGUGCGGAAGAGGCGAGUGGAAUUCCUGGUGUAGCGGUGAAAUGCGUAGAUAUCAGGAGGAACACCGGUGGCGAAGGCGGCCUGCUGGGCAGUUGCUGACACUGAGGCGCGACAGCGUGGGGAGCAAACAGG